UUCCGGUUGAUCCCGCCGGACCUGACUGCUAUCGGAUUGAUACUAAGCCAUGCGAGUCAUUGUAGCAAUACAAGGCAUACGGCUCAGUAACGCGUAGUCAACCUAACCUAUGGACGGGAAUAACCUCGGGAAACUGAGAAUAAUGCCCGAUAGAACAUUAUGCCUGGAAUGGUUUAUGUUCCAAAUGAUUUAUCGCCGUAGGAUGGGACUGCGGCCUAUCAGUUUGUUGGUGAGGUAAUGGCCCACCAAGACUAUUACAGGUACGGGCUCUGAGAGGAGUAGCCCGGAGAUGGGUACUGAGACACGGACCCAGGCCCUAUGGGGCGCAGCAGGCGAGAAAACUUUGCAAUGUGCGAAAGCACGACAAGGUUAAUCCGAGUGGUUUCUGCUAAAGGAACCUUUUGUCAGUCCUAGAAACACUGAUGAAUAAGGGGUGGGCAAGUUCUGGUGUCAGCCGCCGCGGUAAAACCAGCACCUCAAGUGGUCAGGAUGAUUAUUGGGCCUAAAGCAUCCGUAGCCGGCUCUGUAAGUUUUCGGUUAAAUCUGUACGCUCAACGUACAGGCUGCCGGGAAUACUGCAAAGCUAGGGAGUGGGAGAGGUAGACGGUACUCGGUAGGAAGGGGUAAAAUCCUUUGAUCUAUUGAUGACCACCUGUGGCGAAGGCGGUCUACCAGAACACGUCCGACGGUGA
This 692-nucleotide ribosomal RNA is filed under the name uncultured archaeon. Its description in RNAcentral is "bacterial SSU rRNA". It matches the Rfam family "Archaeal small subunit ribosomal RNA", at positions 1 to 700 of the family's 1478-position model. The record is from RNAcentral.